AGUGAACGCUGGCGGUAGGCCUAACACAUGCAAGUCGAACGGCAGCACAGGAGAGCUUGCUCUCUGGGUGGCGAGUGGCGGACGGGUGAGGAAUACAUCGGAAUCUACUUUUUCGUGGGGGAUAACGUAGGGAAACUUACGCUAAUACCGCAUACGACCUACGGGUGAAAGCAGGGGACCUUCGGGCCUUGCGCGAUUGAAUGAGCCGAUGUCGGAUUAGCUAGUUGGCGGGGUAAAGGCCCACCAAGGCGACGAUCCGUAGCUGGUCUGAGAGGAUGAUCAGCCACACUGGAACUGGGCCACGGGCCAGACUCCUACGGGAGGCAGCAUUGGGGAAGAUUGGACAAUGGGCGCAAGCCUGAUCCAGCCAUACCGCGUGGGUGAAGAAGGCCUUCGGGUUGUAAAGCCCCUUUGUUGGGAAAGAAAUCCAGCUGGCUAAUACCCGGUUGGGAUGACGGUACCCAAAGAAUAAGCACCGGCUAACUUCGUGCCAGCCGCCGCGGUAA
This 506-nucleotide ribosomal RNA is filed under the name uncultured bacterium. RNAcentral describes it as "partial 16S ribosomal RNA". It matches the Rfam family "Bacterial small subunit ribosomal RNA", at positions 29 to 523 of the family's 1533-position model. The record is from RNAcentral.